GCGGCUCAUGAAAGCGGAACCACCUUUUUAUAGGAUACAGGGGGCGAGGGCACCGCUGACCCCCGGUAGAAGUUAGGCAAUCUGCUCCUCUGUCCUGCGCGUCCCUCCGGGCCAGCCUGCGCCCGCUUUCCCACGCAUGGCACCGGCCCCGUUGGCCAUGAACCCCACUGGGCUCAGGUCACGCAGCAAGGACCGCACCGGGUCUGCCCCGUUGCCCUUCAGCGUUGAGUCACUGCUGGAGGCAGAGCCUGGGUCGGGCUUGGAGCCCGCAGAGCUGGGGGGGGAAAGGCCGCGGGCUGACACGGAGCCCGGAUCCUGGUUUCCGCCAGCUGCCCGCGCGUGUCCUCCACGUGCCCUCAGCCCUUCACCCUGCACCCUCCGAAAACACAAGAACAACCGCAAGCCGCGGACGCCAUUCACCACGGCGCAGCUACUGGCGCUGGAGCGCAAGUUCCACCAGAAGCAGUACUUGCCCGUCGCUGAGCGGGCCGAGUUUUCCAGCAGCUUGAGCCUCACCGAGACGCAGGUCAAGAUCUGGUUUCAGAACCGCCGAGCCAAGGCCAAGCGGCUGCAGGAGGCCGAGCUGGAGAAGUUGAAGCUGGCAGCCAAGCCGCUGGUGCCCUCUUUCUCCCUGCCCUUCCCUCUGGGCGCCCCGCUGCACGGAGCUGCGGUGAGCGCUCUGCCGCCAGUGCCCCAGCUCCUCGCGGUCCCGGCCGCCUCCUGUGGCUUGUACUACCUGUCUUAGGGCGAGGGUCUGGAGUCGGGCUGGGAGCGGUGCUGGUGCGUGAGUUCCGUGAGUUCUUGUUCCGUGAGUUCCACACGGAACUGUGCAGCCAGAGCAGUCACAGGCCUGAGCUUCAGCCGGUCCGCAGACCAGUCUUGCUCAUUCCAGAGGUGCUGCUCCGGGCAACUGCUGGAGCAUGGAUGUCACUUUUGGGUGUUUGUUGUUGUUUCUUUUUCUUUGUUAACCUGCUAAUGUGAUGUUGUAUUUGAUUCUUGAAGUCUAUUGGUGGUUUUCUUAGAUUUUAAAUUUUUCUUAAAAUUGUGAUCGUACCAAACUUUUUCUGAAAGGCAAUGAAAAGAGCUUCAUACAGUGGCCUGGAGUAAGUCAAAACAGAUCCUCCUACUUCUUACAAGGCUAACAACAAAGUACUUUGAAGUUUGCUCAAGGGACCUGCUGCAGCUCUGAUGCCGAGCUCCCUCCAGGUGCCAAUGUACAUACAGAAGGAUCUACAGGCCGUUUUUUAGCAGCAGCCAGAAACGAAUUCCAGAACAAGCAAUUAAAAUAAUUUGAUGCCAAGACUGCUAGAAAGAAACACGGUUUUCGUCGUGGCUAGAUUUUUUUACUUCUAGGCUAAGUGGAAACUUUAAAAAAAGAUUUUAAAAGCAUAGACUGUCCUGGGAGUCCAAGGCUGGGUGGGGGAGGCAGCGAGGGGCAGAGGCCGAGGGCUCUGAGGGGUUUAGAGACAGUUUCCUGUGAGGCGCUCCUUAGUACCGCAGCGUGGGGCAGGGAUAGGGGCAGCGGGCCAUCAGCACCGAGCUCGCGCCCUCUGCCGGCACAAAUAAGAAAAAAAUCGCCUCUGGUGCCCUGCGCUUUGCACCCAGGAGGAGGCCUUGAUUUUGCAUGAGUCCAAAGGCUUCGCUCUAACUUGGUCCCAGCCAGGAACACGCUGGUGAUCCUUCUGCUUUCACUGGAUUGAGCUCUUUUAUGAAUGGGACGCCUCUGGCUUUACCUGAGAAAGGAAAAUACUGUACUCUAUGCGAUCUCACCUAUGCUGAGGAGCUGCCCCUAUGGGGCAUUCACUCUCCACACAGUACUGAGAACAUUUAGGGUGCCAGUCCCUGAGAUGCAAAAGAAAAAAAGCAACUCUCAUUCUCCCUGUUAUUUCAAGAGCAAUCUGGAGACUUAAGGAUAAAGUGUGCUGUGAGUUCAUACGAGUUCCCUUCAGGGCAACAGUAGCUGCCCUGGUUAAGUCCUUCCUCCCUUCCCAACUCCUACCUUCCAGCUGGACAGGAGGAACUGGACCAGGAAGGAUGCUAGCUGUGUGGGCAAGAGGACCAGGAGGAAUUGCACACGCUCCCACAGGACUCAGGUUGAUGGCACUGGGCUGGGGUCCUCCUGGCUGGCAGGAGGGAAGGGUCCUGCUGUACAAUACUCAACAGGCUGCUGUGUGUGACCAUACCACAAGAAAACAACAGCAGACACACAGACUUCCCUGAAUUCUUCUGCUCUGGUUAAAAACACCUGAAGGAAUUGCCUGUUGAUGUUCAUCAGACAUUCUCCCUGCAUCUCUGGGAAAACAGAAACUCUUGGGUUUUGUUUUUUGUUUUUUGGUACCGGGGAUCUAACUUGGGUUUUUUAAAUGAAAUAAUGGAAGGGAAAGCACCUAUCCCUUUCAGAUGUUUGCCAGUGUGUGUUGGAGCCUGAGUUGUUACACUUGAUCUUAGCCAGAAGGCCAAAAAGUGAUGGAACCUGAAUUGUUAAAGCCAAUGUCAGCUACCUUUCUCAGGUGGACAGACUUACUCUUGGUCUGUAAAUUCUACAAUGAAAAAGAGCUUGGGGUGAAGGGAGACUGGAGCCUCAGCACCAACCAACACCUCCUAUGACCCUCACUCAUCAGGCACACAUGCUGCUUUUUAAGAUCUGUGCAAUUUAGAUUCUGUUCUCAAAUCUGAGGUUCCUGCAAGACAUUGGGUGGCAGUUGAUUGGAGGCGCUGUCAGGUUGCACUGUGAGCAUACCAGGGUACAGCUCAGAGGUACAGCAAGCUGGUCUCCCUUCCAGAUGGACGGCACAUUAACUGACAGCCAGGAAUGCAGGCAGCAAAACCAGAGUGUGGGAAACUCCAGGUACAACAACCCAAUCACUCCAACAUGAACCUUGAAGAGAAGCAGUGACCACUGCAACAGUCUGAAAGCUGAAUUCCCUUAAGAAAUGCUUCUGACCAACACCUGCGACUUAGAACUCAUAUCAUCUUCUACAGCAGAGAUGUGAGCCUUUCCCAGAGAACAAAACAUCCCAUGGCAAAUAAUUAUGAUGCUGAAUUCCUUCUUCAUCAGCAGUGCUUUUUCUUUUUGAGAUAGGGUUUCACUAUCUAGCUUAGGGUGACUUUCUGUUUGUUAUCCUCCUAUCUCAGCUUCCUGAGUGCCGGUUCUCUAGGUCUGCACCAUCACACCAGCUUCAGCAACAUUCAUGAAAGUUUCACAUUCCUUGUCAGGAGAAAAGCAGACAAAUAACACAGAGUUUUCUAGGUACAGAAGAAGAUAGGCUUGGAUUGUUUUAGUUUAGAUCUAAAAUGUCUCUCAAUGGUGUCAGCUGUCCAGAGGGGGUUUUUGGAAGGUUUUUGGAUUGUGGGGAUGCUAUACCCAUCAAGAGAUUAAUCCACUGAUGAGUUUAUAGCUGAAUGUGCUGUUAGGAGGUAGGUCCUGGUUGGUUAUAGGUGUGUCAAUGGCGGUGUGAUGUGAUGUCCC
RNA transcript from Fukomys damarensis (Damara mole-rat), 3469 nucleotides. It is a transcript of the gene named VENT homeobox, with no coding region annotated. The record is from RefSeq and is a predicted model, not a curated record. Lineage: Eukaryota; Metazoa; Chordata; Mammalia; Rodentia; Bathyergidae. The transcript is spliced from 3 exons.